RNAcentral lists this transfer RNA (130 nucleotides) under Rattus norvegicus (Norway rat). Lineage: Eukaryota; Metazoa; Chordata; Mammalia; Rodentia; Muridae. The record is from Rfam by way of RNAcentral.
GGGGAUUUAGCUCAGUGGUAGAGCGUUUGCCUAGGAAGCACAAGGCCCUGGGUUUGGUCACCAGCUCCAAAAAAAAAAAAAAUCUUUAAGAGCACUGACUGCUCUUCAGAGGUCCUGAGUUCAAUUCCCA